AGUGAACGCUGGCGGUAGGCCUAACACAUGCAAGUCGAACGGCAGCACAGUAAGAGCUUGCUCUUACGGGUGGCGAGUGGCGGACGGGUGAGGAAUACAUCGGAAUCUACUUUUUCGUGGGGGAUAACGUAGGGAAACUUACGCUAAUACCGCAUACGACCUACGGGUGAAAGCAGGGGAUCUUCGGACCUUGCGCGAUUGAAUGAGCCGAUGUCGGAUUAGCUAGUUGGCGGGGUAAAGGCCCACCAAGGCGACGAUCCGUAGCUGGUCUGAGAGGAUGACCACCCACACUGGAACUGAGAAACGGCCCAAACCCCUAGGGGAGGCCGGAGGGGGGAAUUUGGGAAAAGGGGCGAAAGCCUGACCCAGCCAUCCCGGGUGGGGGAAGAAGGCCUUGGGGUUGUAAAGCCCUUUUGUUGGGAAAAAAAAGCAGCAGGUUAAUCCCCCGCUUUUCUGACGGUACCCAAAAAAUAAGCACCGGUAAACUUCGG
RNAcentral lists this ribosomal RNA (491 nucleotides) under uncultured bacterium. Its description in RNAcentral is "partial 16S ribosomal RNA". It matches the Rfam family "Bacterial small subunit ribosomal RNA", at positions 29 to 506 of the family's 1533-position model. The record is from RNAcentral.